AAGCAUAUAAGUAGGUGGAGGAAAUGAAACCGAAUGGGAAUCUCUUAGUAAUGGCGAAUGAAAGGAGAUGUGCUUAGUGUCAAAAUCAGAUUACUCUGACUUGUAGGCUGUAGGGGCUUUGCCAACUUGGGUGCAGGUGCAAGUCUCUUGGAAAGGAGCACCAGUGAGGGUCAAGGUCCCGUCUGGCAUCUGUCAUCCCUUGUAGACGGUUUGCCCAUUGAGAGUCGUGUUCUUCUGGAGUAGAGCGCCAAUUGGGUGGUACUCUUUGCCCAAGGAGGAUUACGUGCUUGAGACCAAUAGUGAACAAGUACCAUGAGGGAAGGGUGAAAAGGACUUUGGAAAGAGGGUUAAGAGGGCAUGAAGCUGCUGGAAGGGAAGUGGAUUGGACUUUUACACCGCUGUAAGAUUGCAGGCUGCGAUUCUCACUUUGUGGGUAUUGCUUGCUGUGUCUCUUGCUGCUCGGUUGGGUUUUGCGUUGUGCCCAGAAUCUCAGCUUUGACUGGCAGAAGGGUUGCGACCUGGACCAUGUCUUUGCUUACUUUUGGUGCAGCAUUCAACCUUGACCAAAAGGUUCAAUUUUACCCGUCUUGAAACACGGACCAAGGAGUCUAUUGCGUGUGCAAGUGCAAGGGUUUCACACCUGACAGCUCAACAAAGGUGACUGCUGGGAUUUCUGCACCAGCAACCAACUGAUCGCUUGGGAGAUGUUUGUGUAUGAGCACACUUGCUAGGACCCGAAAGGUGGUGAACUAUGCCUGAGAAGGGUGACGUCAGGGGAAACUCUGAUGGAAGCUCGUAGCGCUACUGACGUGCAAAUCGUUCGUCUGACUUGGGUAUAGGGGCGAAAGACUAAUCGAACCAUCUAGUAGCU
Molecule: ribosomal RNA, 871 nt
Filed under: Amphidinium carterae
Lineage: Eukaryota; Dinophyceae; Amphidiniales; Amphidiniaceae
Description: partial large subunit ribosomal RNA
Rfam family: Eukaryotic large subunit ribosomal RNA
Source: RNAcentral